This 1826-nucleotide long non-coding RNA is filed under the name Homo sapiens (human). RNAcentral describes it as "non-protein coding lnc-MED10-22:1". The record is from RNAcentral. Lineage: Eukaryota; Metazoa; Chordata; Mammalia; Primates; Hominidae.
UUAAUCAUAUCACGGUAAAAAGCCGAAGCUUCAGCUGGGAGUGGGGUCCACCUCUUACGGUCAAACACCUAAGAAAGGAUCACAAGGCUGUGGGUUGGUAAGGGUUCCCCUUAGAAUAUAAAGAGGAUUUUUAAGCUAAUCAUGAUGAUGACAGAAGCCAAUCACUUCUCAAGCUCUCCUGGCAAGGAAUUCCAUAAGUGCAAGAGAAACUCUCGCACUUAUGGGAUUCCAAGAGGAUACAAGAAAGAGAAAGAAAAAAUCAUGGUAAUGAGAUGAUGAGAGAAAGACACAAUUAGAGGUGAUAUCAGAGGUGAUGGAUCAUGGAAAUGGAAAUGAGUGAUCACAGUGGCAUUUGGGGUGGGGAGCAGGAACAGCACGUCCACCAUGGAAUGUAACCUGAAGUGAUUUGCCACUGCGCUGCGGAAAUAUUGGAAAAGCUCUACAGAAGAGAGGCAAACACUUCCACGCGUCAGAGCAGCUUGCUGAGGACAACAGGGCCGUGCUUGCUUUGACCCCGUGCAGCGGGAAGGUGGCUCUAUUUCACUGCCUCCUCAGCUUCCUGGGAGCCCAGAAAUCUAGUGGUUCAGUCUACCAAAAAUAACACUAGCCAUAGUAAUCACAUGACAUCAUGGAAAGAUGGGCACAUUCAGGGGUACUCUGUUUAUUGAGGCAGAAGAAUGCAAAGACAUACUUUUAAAAUAUUGUCAUUAAAACUAUGUGAUUAAUACAGCUGCCAAUUUGAGACACAAACACAUUUUACCUGAGGUGAUAUUCUAAAAGGUUGCACUUUUCCUGUUUUUAUAGAUAAAAUAAUUUAUAUUUAGCAUUUGAAGAGGUCUUCCUUGGGAGGCUGGGGCAUGUCUAUGGAGGGACACAUGGAGGGCAAAUGGAAGCACAAGUCACACACAAAAUCAGGGCCGUAACUCGUCAUAGAGAAAUUUGGUCUCAAAAAUGAACACUCAUGAUAAAAACCACAUAAACCUUUAAAACCUUGUGAUGCAGAAACUUGUAUUAAAGUAGCACACUAAAUUUAAGUAAAAUUCAUGUAGUCUAGGCAUCAUGGAAAUCAUGGCUGUAUUUCCCUUUAUAUAAUUUCAUCCUAAUUUAAAACAGCAAGAGAGGGCACUCUUUGGCUGUAACUCCUAACAUCUGGUAGCAAAAGGGUUCAGAGACUUUGAGCAUAGGGAUUUGUAGAACAGAUUCCUCUGCAAAGACAAAGCAAUGGAACAAACAAUUACAAGAACACGAGCUGGCUGGCUUGCAUUGUUUUCCUGCUUGAAGACUUUUAACGACUUGACAAUGUUUAAAGUUGAUUUCAAUGUCUGGACACAUAACUAGCUUGUCUACACUGUUUCCAAUAGAUUAUAAAAUGCUUGAGGCAGCUCCACUUCACUGAAGAGCUUAAUUUCCUAGAAAGUACCAUAAAUAUUUAUGUAUUUGAUUAGAAGACAAAGCAUACACUUUCCUCUUGAAGUAAUCCCUUUAAAAAUAUUUUUGGCAUGUAUAAUUGUUAGGUUAACACUACAUUGAAAACAAUUAGGUUUAGUGGAUGCCUCAGAAAAUGUGGUUAGAAUUGUUUCGUGUGAAAGUGGACUUCAAAAAGCCCAGAUAUUUAGGUGGCAUGCACACAAAAUCUAUGCAGACUGUAUUCACGGAGCAUACUGUAAGCAGAUGCUAUUUUGUUUGACUAGUACAUCCAACACGUUUCAUUUUCCUUUGCUAACAUACUUCCAAAAUUAAAUAAAGCUUUUGGAGAAUAAUAAUGAUACCAGCUAAUGUUUAUUGAGCACUCAUUUGCCAUUAAUGUUUAUGCAAUGCCCGCAGGU